GAUGAACGCUGGCGGCGUGCCUAAUACAUGCAAGUCGAGCGAACAGACGAGGAGCUUGCUCCUCUGACGUUAGCGGCGGACGGGUGAGUAACACGUGGAUAACCUACCUAUAAGACUGGGAUAACUUCGGGAAACCGGAGCUAAUACCGGAUAACAUGUUGAACCGCAUGGUUCAACAGUGAAAGACGGUCUUGCUGUCACUUAUAGAUGGAUCCGCGCCGCAUUAGCUAGUUGGUAAGGUAACGGCUUGCCAAGGCAACGAUGCGUAGCCGACCUGAGAGGGUGAUCGGCCACACUGGAACUGAGACACGGUCCAGACUCCUACGGGAGGCAGCAGUAGGGAAUCUUCCGCAAUGGGCGAAAGCCUGACGGAGCAACGCCGCGUGAGUGAUGAAGGUCUUCGGAUCGUAAAACUCUGUUAUUAGGGAAGAACAAAUGUGUAAGUAACUAUGCACGUCUUGACGGUACCUAAUCAGAAAGCCACGGCUAACUACGUG
Molecule: ribosomal RNA, 497 nt
Filed under: uncultured bacterium
Lineage: Bacteria
Description: partial 16S ribosomal RNA
Rfam family: Bacterial small subunit ribosomal RNA
Source: RNAcentral